UAUGAAAAUUCUUUUCUAUCAAUCACAUUGCUAUGGCCACAAACUUUUGGACUUAGCCUUUCAAAUCUCAUAGGAUUAUUUUUCUCUAUCAAGGUUGAGUCCAGUUGUGACUUCUAUGAAAAUUCUUUUCUAUCAAUCACAUUGCUAUGGCCAUAAACUUUUGGACUUAGCCUUUCAAAUCUCAUAGGAUUACUUUUCUCUAUCAAGGUCGAUAGUUUUUUUCUUGAUGUGUACCCCACUCCUACAGUGGACCAACUAUCAUCAACAUCAACUACAAGAGCUCAUUGAGCCCCAUGU
RNAcentral lists this long non-coding RNA (297 nucleotides) under Elaeis guineensis (African oil palm). RNAcentral's name for it is "long non-coding RNA (EGUI_LNC050552)". Lineage: Eukaryota; Viridiplantae; Streptophyta; Magnoliopsida; Arecales; Arecaceae. The record is from RNAcentral.